UAUUAUUUUAACACCUUAGAUCACAGCAGAGGAAAUUUUAUACUUGUGGGAGUGAAGAUGGGAGUACUGGUUAAAGAAGAGGAAAAUAAGUGGGUUUCUUUCCAGAGCGAAAAAUGUUCUAAAUUCACAAAGCAUGUAAACUGAAGACACUUGCUAAUGAUGAAUCUAAGGUGUUAACAGAAGAGUUCUACUCAGAGUAGAUAAAAAGACGAAUCCUAGAGUUAGAUUUCCGGUGUAAAUCUUAGCUCCAUCACUUAGCGUGAUUUUGGGUACAUUGCUCAGUUCUGUGCUUCAGUUUUAUUAUCAAUAAAAUGGAGUUGGUAACAUCUACCUCAUUGCUGUAUUGAGAAUCCACAGGCCGUGGGUUCUAGGAAAGGACUUAGGAGUGCCUGGUUUGGUCAACGUGGGGUAUAAUCCUAGUUGUAGUUAUCAUUAUUCCUAUCUGUGGUACUAGUGUCAGUGGAAUACUGAGAUAUCUUUUCUUCAACUCGAAACUGGAUCACCCAGGAGUUCCCUGGUGGCCUAGCAGUUGGGUAUCAGGCGUUGUCAAUGCUGUGACUCAGGUUCAAUUCCUGGCGUGCGUACCAUGGGUUUUGCCAAAAAAAAUUUUUUUUAGUGGAUCACCUAGGUUGAAUCUUGCUCUUUUCAAUUCAAUCUCUAAAUCAGUCAGUCACCUUUCUGAAAUUCCAGUGUGAUCAUAUAUCUGACACAAACUAAAGACAAAUCUCAAAUUUCUUACACAGUUUGGUUUUUUGUCUUUCCGGGUCAUUUACACCUUACAUUUUAAGAUCCAGUCCUCUUGAAUUCCAGACAAUUCAAUUGCCGGCCUCCAGGGUUCAGUAGAAGUAGUUACCUUUGUGGUUCCUCUGUAGUUCCUUUAUGUGAGUAAUUUCCCCCCAUCUUUUAGCUCUUGGUUUAGUCGUCCCUUUCACUGGAGUGCCUUACCUAAUGUCUGUGCUGGAUUUAACUGCCCAUCCUAGGAGCUUCCAGAGUGCUGUCCUUCUAAUCAUAGCUGUUAGCACUAAGCAUUAACACUCCGUUACAGAGUUAGAUUUUCCACAAUAAAUUCCUUGGAGGCAGGGACUAGGUUAUUCACGUCUAGCAACCGCACAGCAGUUAACACAAUAAAGCCUCAGUAAAUAAAUAAAUGAGAGUAAGAGUGGUGAUUAUCUCUGGGGAGGGAAUGAGUACUGACUGGAAAGAAGUAGGAGGAAACCUUCUGGUUUGAUAGAAAUCUAGAUCUUGAUCUGAAUGAUGGUUAUGUAAGUAUAUACAUGUGUAAACAUUAUUGAGCUGAAUUCUUUAAACUUCUGUCCUUUUUUUUUGCUUCACUAAGAAUGUUUUAUUCCUCAUUUUUAAAAAUGAAAAAAAAAAAAAAAGAGUGCAUAGAAAAGGCAAAACUCAUCUACACUAUUAGAAGUCAGGAUCCUAGUUAACCCUUGUGGUGAACUUGUGACUGGAAAGGAACAAGAGUAGGCAUCUAGAAAGUCAGUAAUUGUAAUUUUGUCUCAUUUAAUGUAAGUCCUAGUUACCUCAGUAUUUUUAGUUUGUGAAGAUCCAUCAAGCUGUACAUAUAUGCACAUUUAUGUGGGUAUAUUACACUUGACAGGUUAAAAGAGUGAGAAUGAGUAAAUAACAAAUGUACAUGCACAUAUAUACACACAUAAAUAUAUAUAUACACACAUAUAUUUAUAUAUGUACAAAGACAUAUGUGUAUACAUAUAUAUAUAUGACAUAAAGACCUAUUUGUAGUGAAACAAAAAAUCUGUUUCUUCAAACCUUAGUCCCACAUAAGAAUCAGCUAAAAUAAAAUUUCAAAACCCACUUUUUAUUUCUAUCACAUGGCCCAUCUGUGUCGAUGGAUAUUUGAAAGGACAGAUUUGUAUUAUGUAUACAUGGUAAUAGUACAUAUAUUAGUAACUUUUGCACAACUGCAAAUCUCUGCAACACAACUCUUUCAGAUGUUAGUUUUAACUAUGGGUUUUAAGAACAAUUAGCUAGAAUUAAGAUGUUAGUUUUAACUCAUGGGUUUUAAAAACAAUUAGCUAGAAUUAAGUUUGGUGUAAAGUGUCCUUUCAAUUAUUUUCUUUCACAGAUCUCUUCAGAGUGACAAAAAUCUUUACACGUGCCUCUUGCCUCAGAUGAACUAUUGUCUAAAACCAGACUUAAAUAGAAAUGUAAUUUAGAUGUUUCUACUAAAGAUGUUCUUAAAACAUUCCCAGGAAUUUAAAAAAAAAAAAGAGUUUCACAGAUUUUUGUCCAAUUCCCCUGUAAAGCAUUUAUGUAUGAUUUGGACUCUAUUUGCUAUACCUAUGCUAACAGCAGGAACUCUUAAUAUAGGUAUACAUUUAGCAGCCACAUUGUGAACAGCAUGAAUAAAGGAAUAAACAUGACCUCCAAUCACAAAAUCAGCACAAUGCCCUUAGCACCCAAAAGCAUGGAGGGAAUUUUCAGCUCCAGGGUCCCUGAACAGUACUCAGCAAUAUUUCAGUCAACUAAUUGCAGUCAAGUCUGUGUCGAACAGCAAACCAAAGGGAUAAACAGGUUCCAAGCCACAAGGCAGAAGCAAGAAGUUGGGACCCAAACCACACACCCUACUCCACAUCAUUUCAAUGAAUGUUUGAAAAUAUAAAACUGUAAUGUUUUUAAAUAGAAUAAUACUUACCGCAAAUCUUUUUAUAGUAUGGUAGACUUCAAAGUGCCAAGAAUGCAUUUUAUUUAAGAAAAAAACCUUAUCAUUACAUUUUUCCAAAUUCCCUUUUCCACAUAUGACUGAUUUUCCAAAUACAUAUUUCAACAACCUUCUAGUACUAUGUUUGGAGAGGGAUUUGGGGGCAGCUUUCCUCUCCACAGAAGGCAAGAUCUAGAAAUACAUCAGUCAUUCAUGUCAAUUUGUGGAAGUUCAACUUGCCAAAGGUAUCUGAUAAACUUUAAUCACUGUCACAACUCUAAAGGUUACUGAGCAACUCCAACACAAAUUACAACAGUAUUGCACAAAUGUGAGAGUGAAUGCAUGUGUAUGUGUGUGUGCCCUUGACAGUUAAAUCUUUUGGUAUAUCAGCAUUAAUUUCAGCUACAUACAACAACAAUAACAAUAAUAGCACCAACAAAAGAUGACAAAUAAGAUGAACAUUUGUUCCCGUUCAGUAACAGAUUUAGGCAGCCCAGGGCUGUUUUUUAGCUUCCUGAUAAAACGUCCAUCUUUAUUGUGCUGUCUCAUUUCACAAGACGGAUGCUUAUGCUCUAGUCAUCAUGUUCACAUCCCAGAAAAAAAAAUUAAAGAGAUUAAGAAUGGAAAUCUCAGUCCCUUUGAGAAUACUUCCUGAAAGCUGCACAUAACACUGUUUUUCAUUGAUCCAAAUUUAUCCAUAAGGCCACAACCAAUAGAAGGGAAAAUCAGUUUUUAGAGGAGCAGCAAGGUAGUCAGCUAAAAUUUGAGAUCUUAUAAAUAAGAAAAAGAGGAGAAUUGAUAUUUAGAGCAGACAGUGGUUUUUCUCUUACUUAAAAAUAUUAAAACAGCCUCCUAGAUGAUUCAAUUAAAUAAUUAAAAUGAAAACAAUCAGACUAUUAUUUACCAUAGUGUAAACAAAGGUAAUUAAAUUUUGUUUUUAAACUUAAACACUUAAAUUUAAAUAUUUUUAAAAUAUUUCACUGACUCAUAAAUAUAAGUAAAGAAAUAUUUCCAUGUAUCAGAGUAUACAAAACUUUAAAAAUUGUAUAUAUUUUAUUGGUAGGGAGGAGUAGAAGAGGGGGCUGAUUAAUUUCUUUUAAACGAGAAAAGUUAACUUAGAAAUAAUUUCAUCCCACUCCUAAAUCAGAAUUAAUGUUCUGCGUUGGGAGUUAGGCUGUCAUAUUUGAGAACCACUGAUUUGAACAUACUAUUUCUGGAAAUGAUUUCUUUUAGUAAUUACUAACAGUUUAUGAAAAGAUCUGCAAUUUUAUUUUUCCAAGUGUUCAAGUAAUCUUAACUCAUCAAAAUGCUAAAAUCUUUUGUAUCAGAGUUGUCUGAGACUUACGCAUGUAAAUGGCCUGCCUGUUCCCUGACAGCUGGAACCUCUUAGCAUGGAUAUGCAGCCUCAGCCCCAUCCUAAGCACUGGGACUCACCUGGCCUCUAAGUAAGACUCAAUCCACAGCUCACUGCUCAACUUGCACUGACCUGGCAACCAAGUUUUAGUAGCAGAGCCUCUAAACUUUGCUACUGCCAGGCUUUUCUCAUAUCAGGCUCUCCAAGAACCCUUCCACAGCAUAGUAGACAGCACCUAUCAAGACUGUGAAGGAAUUUUCCAAUAAUAAGAAGCCACUACCUCAUGAGUAGCCAUUUAUACUGUUUAUUUGAACACUCAUACAUGUAUUUAGUAAACCAAUACUGAAAACUGACUACAAACCAGGCAUGCUGCCAGACACUGGUAAUAAAAACAUCAAACACUCAGUUGCCUACCCUCUAGCAGGAGAGACAGCUGUAAUUGUUAAAAUGAUAUUCCUACUAUAGAGUUAGAUUUAGUCUCCUAGGAAUUUUCAUCCAUUGUUCUUAAGUCUGCAGUAUAUUCACAUGGAAAAGAUUCUACUCAGACUUCCACAGAAUUACCCUCAAUCUGGAAUAUUUCAAAUAAGAUUAUAUUCCUUUUAACAUUCCCAAAACUUCAUUGCAUUUCCUGUUUCUUACAAAUAACCUUCAUUCAAAAUCAUACACUCAUUCUUUUCUCCACCAGGCUCUUAAAAUCCUAGCACUGUAACUCUUAAAUGAAACAGUUUUUAGUUUCUUCAUUCUCUUUUAAGAUAAGUCUCAGUUUGAAAAUAUGUUUUAAAAUGAAGCACUGAGAAAAGAAUACAGAACAAGAAAAUACCUAGUAUAUCUUAUCUCUACUUAAUACUUAGUUAUUUCACUGAGGAGAACAU
This 4897-nucleotide long non-coding RNA is filed under the name Sus scrofa (pig). Its description in RNAcentral is "lncRNA (ENSSSCG00000055792.1)". The record is from RNAcentral. Lineage: Eukaryota; Metazoa; Chordata; Mammalia; Artiodactyla; Suidae.